This 75-nucleotide transfer RNA is filed under the name Candidatus Magasanikbacteria bacterium CG10_big_fil_rev_8_21_14_0_10_40_10. RNAcentral describes it as "tRNA-Arg". It matches the Rfam family "tRNA". From Rfam's summary of the family: Transfer RNA (tRNA) molecules are approximately 80 nucleotides in length. Their secondary structure includes four short double-helical elements and three loops (D, anti-codon, and T loops). The record is from RNAcentral. Lineage: Bacteria; Candidatus Magasanikiibacteriota.
GCCCUUGUCGUUCAAUGGAUAGGACAUCAGUUUCCGGAACUGGCGAUACAGGUUCGAUUCCUGUCAAGGGCACCA